CCUACGGGAGGCAGCAGUGAGGAAUAUUGGUCAAUGGGCGAGAGCCUGAACCAGCCAAGUCGCGUGAGGGAGUACUGCCCUAUGGGUUGUAAACCUCUUUUGUCGGGGAGCAAAAGCCGGACGUGUCCGGCUGUGAGAGUACCCGAAGAAAAAGCAUCGGCUAACUCCGUGCCAGCAGCCGCGGUAAUACGGAGGAUGCGAGCGUUAUCCGGAUUUAUUGGGUUUAAAGGGUGCGCAGGCGGAUUUUUAAGUCAGCGGUAAAAUCGUGGGGCUCAACCCCAUCCAGCCGUUGAAACUGGGGAUCUAGAGUGGGCGAGAGGUAUGCGGAAUGCGUGGUGUAGCGGUGAAAUGCAUAGAUAUCACGCAGAACCCCGAUUGCGAAGGCAGCAUACCGGUGCACAACUGACGCUCAGGCACGAAAGCGUGGGUAUCGAACAGGAUUAGAUACCCUAGUAGUC
This 458-nucleotide ribosomal RNA is filed under the name uncultured bacterium. RNAcentral's name for it is "partial 16S ribosomal RNA". It matches the Rfam family "Bacterial small subunit ribosomal RNA", at positions 338 to 795 of the family's 1533-position model. The record is from RNAcentral.